CCAGGACAGGCAAGCCCCAAGUUUGCCCAUUGUGGGCAGAAGGAUCCUCCUCGGAUCGUCACCGGUUUGCUGUUGUGCAAGGUCAUUGUUGAUGAAGAUUCCUAUCAUGAAUCCAUCGCACAAGCAACAUAAAGGCGUACAAAAAGCUCACAGGAGUUCUUCCAAAGGAUGGACGGGUCGUCUCCUGUGCCAGAGUUGCAUUCCUUCUCUGCUUUCCUGGAGACGCAACAGCCAACAUGGAGCCACACUGAGACUGCCAUGUGUUGCUGCGAAAGACAGCAUAACGCCCUCCCCUGUGGCCCCACGCUGAAUGCUCACAAAGCACCCACUCCUCUUGCUCCGCUUCUGGCCGCUCCGGUGUCCUUUGCUUUGGCCGACGUCUCCUCUGGCUGCAGCUCUAGGGACACAUCCUCAUUGCAGUUCUGGUCUCUUGUCUGCUCUAGGUCUCGUUUAGUGCCUAAGAGAGGCACAUGAGAAUGGAAAUGUUUACUUGGUGUGCAUGUGUGAUAGUGAGCUUGGCACAUCACACGUUCACAUGUGGGUCACUGCUGCCACAAGAACUACAGGGUUAUCUUUGCAGCAUCUGCCCUGGCAUGUGAAGAAGCUCCCUUUCAGGGGCCAGAACUGAGGCACUCUAAGGACAGAUAAACAACUUGCCCCGAAUCAGUGAUGUGUGAUCCCACUUUUGCCAAAGCCUAGAAAAUGACUGGGUUCACAACCACCUUUGCAGUUGUGCUGGCUUUCAUGAUAAGGACAGUGGAGGAGAACAUAACUACUGUGGACAGCUGAGCACUUGUCAGCUGCACUUUAAGAGAGCCUUGCCAAGCCCACAGCAUGUCCAUAUUUCCCCUCUAAGCCCCUUUCUCUCCUCACAACUGUGACUGCUGUUAGCUGCACUUUGCAGUGAAGAACAGAGACUUUAUAGGAAGCAACUUGGGGAGUCACUGGUACUAAAUAAUGACUUCAAUGCAACAGGCCCUUAUUUAAAAUUUGAUUGUAUGAUAUGUACCCAAAUAUUUAAACUGUUUUCAGCAGUAAUUAAACCCAAACAAAGCCAUAUGGAAAUUGAAUAA
Molecule: long non-coding RNA, 1073 nt
Organism: Pogoniulus pusillus (Red-fronted tinkerbird)
Lineage: Eukaryota; Metazoa; Chordata; Aves; Piciformes; Lybiidae
Exons: 3
Source: RefSeq, a predicted model, not a curated record